UAUAUGAUUUUUUCUGGCUGAUAUAAGCUUUUUACAUAGUACUAUUAAAAAAACAAGUUUUAUCACUAUAUAUAUGUUUGCUAAAUUUCAUGAACAUACAGAUUAAGGACCCUGGUCCAAAGUAUUUAAAUUUUAAUGGAUAGACUAAGACUAAAUGGAGCAGUAAUUCACUAAACAAAAAAAAUCAAAUCUACAAUGAGCAAGUAUUCUCUCAUUUAAAACACCAUCAAAAUAAUAAAUUGCAUUAAAAACUAAAAUUAAAGUGUUCAACUAACUCCUUUAGUUUUAUAUUCAAUAUUUAUUUAAAAAAUUGUAAAGCAGGAUCAAACAUAGGCCGUGUUCAAAAGAGAGUCGCCAGCGAUUGUCUCAGCGACAGAUCUAAACGACGGUAAGUCAGCCAUCAAUAAAGCUAAACGACGACAGCAGAGGCAAAACGAUGACGACAGAGGUGUCGUUGGAGAGAGAGAGAGGUGUUGCAGAAAGAGAGAAGAGUCACUGGAAUUUCAAGCGACAGCUGCGGCAACUCAAUUAACACUAACAACGACUCAUUUUAACAAUACCACCGACUUAUUCCGUAUGUAUUUUUUUGUCGAUGUCACUCAUUGAGCGGCGAAGAAAAGAACAUGGUCAUACUAACAAACAAUAUUCCCUACAUUUCAUAAUAUUAAAUGUUUUAGAUAAAAGCAUAAAGUUUAAGAAAGUAAUUAAUUUUGAGUUUUAUAAAUUAAAAAUACAAAUUAAUAUCUAUUA
Molecule: small RNA, 750 nt
Filed under: Arabidopsis thaliana (thale cress)
Lineage: Eukaryota; Viridiplantae; Streptophyta; Magnoliopsida; Brassicales; Brassicaceae
Description: ATSL212160
Source: RNAcentral